UACGUAGGGGGCAAGCGUUGUCCGGAUUUAUUGGGCGUAAAGAGCGUGUAGGCGGUUCGGUAGGUCCGUUGUGAAAACUCGAGGCUCAACCUCGAGCUGUCGGUGGAAACUGUGUGGCUAGAGUCCGGAAGAGGAGAGUGGAAUUCCCGGUGUAGCGGUGAAAUGCGCAGAUAUCGGGAAGAACACCCGUGGCGAAGGCGGCUCUCUGGGACGGUACUGACGCUGAGACGCGAAAGCGUGGGGAGCGAACAGG
This 253-nucleotide ribosomal RNA is filed under the name uncultured bacterium. RNAcentral describes it as "partial 16S ribosomal RNA". It matches the Rfam family "Bacterial small subunit ribosomal RNA", at positions 524 to 776 of the family's 1533-position model. The record is from RNAcentral.